UUUAUUGCAAGAAUUCUAAAUUCAUGACUUGUAGGGAUAGACUUAGC
RNAcentral lists this small RNA (47 nucleotides) under Arabidopsis thaliana (thale cress). Its description in RNAcentral is "ATSL144520". The record is from RNAcentral. Lineage: Eukaryota; Viridiplantae; Streptophyta; Magnoliopsida; Brassicales; Brassicaceae.